GAUCAGAUGGCCGAGUUUGUCUAAGGUGCCAGAUUAAGGCUCUGGUCCGAAAGGAAGGGCGUGGGUUCAAAUCCCACUCUGGUCA
Triticum aestivum (bread wheat) is the source of this 85-nucleotide non-coding RNA. Lineage: Eukaryota; Viridiplantae; Streptophyta; Magnoliopsida; Poales; Poaceae. The record is from Rfam.